ACUGAAAUUAUUUUUAUAGGAUCAUAGAAAGUGGUUUACACAAAUUCCUAGUUGUAUUAUUUUUUUCUUUUUGGUUGACUCAAGAGAGUAGUAGUUCACAUGUUUUAAUAUACAGUAUAUAAAAAGCAAUAUUGUCUUGAUUUACAGAACAACUCAAUAGAUGUUCAAAGGGAAUGUAUCCUCAAGGCCUUGUGCGUGUACUUCAGCGAAGACCACCAAGAGCUUGUAAAAGAAUACAUCGACUUGGAAGAGGCUGAGAAGAACAUGGGGCAGACAUUGAUGGCAGUGUACACAGUCAGGAGGGAGGGGGCCGAAGCUACUGAUGAACCUGCACAUGUAGGCAUUGUAAUUGAAGGGGUGGAAAAUGUGGCUCUAUGCUGUGCCAUGUUCUUUGGACUUAGGCCCUUAACCUCAGCUUUCCAGACAAACUAAAAUGCACCUUUGAAUUCAUACAGAAGGCUGUCAUGAAUCUGAGUGGACAAAGGCUGUCUCCUAAAGUGUUGGCCCUGAAAAACAAAUUAGUUCAGGAAUAGAUUGUGCACUUGUGCACCUUUUCAAUAAUUCAUAUCCUGAAUACAAUUGUAUGUAGAUUUUUUUGUGGCUUCAGCCUUAGUGUUUGACUAAGUUAUCUUGGAAUUUGCAGUUUUGCCAUUCCUUACUAAACAGUAAUAAUUGUAACUUGCACUUCUUUUUGUAAGUUCAUGUUUUUGAGGAUCGUUCAUGUUCAACUUUGUGUUGAUUAUACAUGGUGCACAUUUGCAGGCUCCGUUUCAUUUCAAAUUCACUUCUGCAAAGUUUUUAUUUUUUGUUUUUGGAACUGUGAUUUUCUAUAACUGAAUUUUACUGUUUUAUAAAAUGUACAGUUGGGUAAGUUUUUGGGUUGUGUAAAUGUUGAGACUGUUAGUAUUUGUCAUUUACUUGUAGCUCAGACAUUAGCAUGCAUGGUUCCGUUUGUACUUGACACUGCUGUUUUGUCACUGACAUGGAAAAAACUUGUUCAACCUGCAAUAACAGGUAUUUCUUAUUCACAAAGUAAUUGAUGGCUCAAAUAAAUAAACGAACAGUAAAAAUG
Paramormyrops kingsleyae is the source of this 1072-nucleotide long non-coding RNA. RefSeq lists it as uncharacterized. The record is from RefSeq and is a predicted model, not a curated record. Lineage: Eukaryota; Metazoa; Chordata; Actinopteri; Osteoglossiformes; Mormyridae.